This 390-nucleotide ribosomal RNA is filed under the name uncultured Gammaproteobacteria bacterium. Its description in RNAcentral is "bacterial SSU rRNA". It matches the Rfam family "Bacterial small subunit ribosomal RNA", at positions 56 to 448 of the family's 1533-position model. Lineage: Bacteria; Pseudomonadati; Pseudomonadota; Gammaproteobacteria. The record is from RNAcentral.
UACGAACCGGUAACAGGGGUAGCUUGCUACCCGCUGACGAGCGGCGGACGGGUGAGUAAUGCAUAGGAAACUGCCCAGUAGUGGGGGAUAGCCCGGGGAAACCCGGUUUAAUACCGCAUACGUCCUUCGGGAGAAAGCAGGGGAUCUUCGGACCUUGCGCUAUUGGAUGUGCCUAUGUCGGAUUAGCUAGUUGGUGGGGUAAGAGCCUACCAAGGCGACGAUCCGUAGCUGGUCUGAGAGGAUGAUCAGCCACAUCGGGACUGAGACACGGCCCGAACUCCUACGGGAGGCAGCAGUGGGGAAUAUUGGACAAUGGGGGCAACCCUGAUCCAGCCAUGCCGCGUGUGUGAAGAAGGCUUUCGGGUUGUAAAGCACUUUCAGUGAGGAGGA